GCUUGCUUUGGCAGUGCAUAUACUAAAAUUGUAACAACACAGAGAAGGUUAGCAUGGACCCUGUCCAAGAAUGGCACACAAAUUCAUGAAGAAUUCCAUGUUUUA
Molecule: small nuclear RNA, 105 nt
Organism: Dipodomys spectabilis (banner-tailed kangaroo rat)
Lineage: Eukaryota; Metazoa; Chordata; Mammalia; Rodentia; Heteromyidae
Source: RefSeq, a predicted model, not a curated record